GGCGGCGUAGCUCAGCUGGCUAGAGCGUACGGUUCAUACCCGUAAGGUCGGGGGUUCGAGCCCCUCUGCCGCUAC
This 75-nucleotide transfer RNA is filed under the name Paenibacillus allorhizoplanae. RNAcentral's name for it is "Paenibacillus sp. JJ-42 tRNA-Met". It matches the Rfam family "tRNA". Rfam says of the family: Transfer RNA (tRNA) molecules are approximately 80 nucleotides in length. Their secondary structure includes four short double-helical elements and three loops (D, anti-codon, and T loops). Further hydrogen bonds mediate the characteristic L-shaped molecular structure. tRNAs have two regions of fundamental functional importance: the anti-codon, which is responsible for specific mRNA codon recognition, and the 3' end, to which the tRNAs corresponding amino acid is attached (by aminoacyl-tRNA synthetases). tRNAs cope with the degeneracy of the genetic code in two manners: having more than one tRNA (with a specific anti-codon) for a particular amino acid; and 'wobble' base-pairing, i.e. permitting non-standard base-pairing at the 3rd anti-codon position. Lineage: Bacteria; Bacillati; Bacillota; Bacilli; Caryophanales; Paenibacillaceae. The record is from RNAcentral. RNAcentral also lists the same sequence under 1 other name.